UACCACUCUCAACCUCAUAAAGAGAGAAACCUAUAUGAGUUACAGAAUCACAAAGCCAGUGUGAGCUAGCAUGGCAGUAUAGAAUUCCUGGGAUUUCCUAACACAAGUGUUGUUUAUACUUACUUCCAGACUCUUUUUUAUGACCCUGAGAAACGACACUGAGUACACAUAAUAAGACUAAAGAUGGAUAUUUGUCACCCAAAGCAUAAACUUCCCAGAAUCCAGGAAGCAGGAGAUAUGACAAAAAUGAGAGACAAAUGGCAUUUCUAGAUGAGUCAAUCAGUAGAUCUGAAGAAAAUCCUACAGGGAGACCUAGCCUUCUCUGCCUUGAGGACACGUAGAUCUUUCUCCAGAAAAAGAUGAUCUCACAUCUGCAAUUGCGACCCUCUUCUGAUGCCUCUUGGAAGUGCAGACAUUCAACAAUUACAAUGCGGAUUACGUAAACCUAAAUGAAACCUUUUGAAAAACUUCUAAAAUAUAUUUCCAGGAGACAAUUAAGGGAAAGACAUAAUAAUCUCUUCAGCCCUGCCUACAGCCAGAAAGAUUUCCUUGAGUUUCUUUAUAGCCCUUUCUUAUGAUGUUCAUGGCGCUUCUCUUCUCUACAUCUGAAGCGUUCUUUAAUGUUUGCUCUUGUCUAUUUCUGUUGCUUCAAUGCCAUUUCAAACUACCCCUUCAUGUGAAUUACCACAAUAGCCUCUUAUUAGCCUCCAACUACUAGUCCCCUCAUACUGCUUUCAUUAAGUCAAGUGAAUAGUCUAAACAUUAGAAAAAAUAUCAAAAAUGAUAAGAUAAUUUCUGAUCGUAUCAUUCCACUACUGAAAUUGACUGGUCUAUUUAAUUAAACCUAUCUUCUCAGGUGGUCUUCAAAGCUCUAGGAUUAAGAUAUCAGCUCUAUCUAAUUCCCUACUACUUCGAUAACAAUAUUCUCUGUUGCAACUACUAACAACUCAGUGUUUAUUGAACAUACUGAACUCUCCUUACCAUUAAUAGCCUUCUCUCCAAUUAGAAUUUCUUUAAUCCUACUGUGACAGAUUGUAUUUCCCAAAGAUGGCCUCAACAUCCUAUAUGCUUUUCUGCAAUGUGUUCUUGCAACUCCUCCACCGAGCAGUGGAGUCUAUUUCAUCACAUCCUAGAACAUAGACAAUUUUUAAC
Long non-coding RNA from Homo sapiens (human), 1152 nucleotides. RefSeq lists it as uncharacterized. The record is from RefSeq and is a predicted model, not a curated record. NCBI's taxonomy places the organism in Eukaryota, Metazoa, Chordata, Mammalia, Primates, Hominidae. The transcript is spliced from 3 exons.